RNAcentral lists this long non-coding RNA (988 nucleotides) under Anas platyrhynchos platyrhynchos (common mallard). Its description in RNAcentral is "lncRNA (ENSAPLG00000028417.1)". The record is from RNAcentral. Lineage: Eukaryota; Metazoa; Chordata; Aves; Anseriformes; Anatidae.
AGGUGAGCUUGCAGGUGCUGUAAGAAGUUCUGAGAUAAAGUGCUCGUCUCCUUCGGUGCAGCUGCCUAUUUCUAGCAGAAGAAUUGAAUUAAUUGAAUAUUUGAAGAAUUGCUUAACUGAAUAUUUAAAGCUGCUUGUCAGGAUACUUAAGAUGAGAACUGUGUCAGCCACUCCUGAUAACAGAGAGCCUUGGGCCUGGUGGAUGGGGAGAACAGCUUGGAAAGGUGGCGAAGUGCAGUGAAAAGUCACCUCUUCAAACUGCAAGUAUAAUCUGCUGCAAAGAAUUCAAAGUUUAAACUUAACACGGUGGUGCAAGCCUGCGUUUUCUCUUGUUGAUUGAAAUGGGAAUAUGAGUGGACCCUCACUUUGGAAUUCAGACAAAUCUGAACUAAUCAAAGCUACAGACGUGUAUGUUUAUAGCAAAACUCAUGCAGAAGGCUGACAGCCUGUCUCACUCCCAUCAGAGAUAUCCCACCAGCUCCUUUAGGAGUUCAGCGUUGCAUUUGGCCUGUUCUGAUCUUCCUGAUCCCCUCAUUUUUGUGCUGCAACACCACCAUCCAGCAGAAAUCAGGUAGGAUCUGAAGACAUUUGACAUUGCUAAAGAAUCAAGCCUCAGCUGUCAGUUUUAGCCAUUUGUAUUCCAGAUUUUUGUUCCGCUGGAUGAUGGUUUCAUUUUUGAUUCUGUAAUGUGUUCUUUGUGGAGGUUAUUUUAAGCAGACAAAUAGGUAGCCUGCUUCCUUCAGUGGAUUUGUGCUGGUUUUAGCUGAGGUUUGCACAUUUUAGCUAUUGCCCUGUGGUUGUUCUGGUCCUGAUGCAUCUCUAAACCUUUGUCUGCCUCGCUUCUCCUCUUUGUGAAAUAAGAUGAGUAAUUGUGCAUAAAAUUAUGGAUGUUGUGCAUAAGCUGCACAAUGGUUAUGGGGCAUUUUAAGAUUUUCAUAUACAGGGGUCCAUGUUCACUUAAUCAAUUAAGUGUAGUCCUGGCUUUAAG